Molecule: long non-coding RNA, 225 nt
Organism: Coregonus clupeaformis (lake whitefish)
Lineage: Eukaryota; Metazoa; Chordata; Actinopteri; Salmoniformes; Salmonidae
Exons: 3
Source: RefSeq, a predicted model, not a curated record
GGAGAGACCAGUGUUCAACGACUCCUCUCCUAUACUGGUAGAACUGGGCCUCACACUGUUACAGAUCAUAGACGUGGAUGAGAAGAACCAGGUUCUGAUGACCAACGCCUGGUUAGAGCUGCACUGGACAGAUACCUACCUCUCCUGGAACCCAGAGAACUACCCAGGUGUUCAGAACCUUCGUUUCCCCUCCAAUCAGAUCUGGGUUCCUGAUAUCCUCCUCUA